This 530-nucleotide ribosomal RNA is filed under the name uncultured bacterium. RNAcentral's name for it is "bacterial SSU rRNA". It matches the Rfam family "Bacterial small subunit ribosomal RNA", at positions 972 to 1501 of the family's 1533-position model. The record is from RNAcentral.
UACCUACCCUUGACAUGUCAGGAAUCCUGCUGAGAGGUGGGAGUGCCCGAAAGGGAGCCUGAACACAGGUGCUGCAUGGCUGUCGUCAGCUCGUGUCGUGAGAUGUUGGGUUAAGUCCCGCAACGAGCGCAACCCUUGUCAUUAAUUGCCAUCAUUGAGUUGGGCACUUUAAUGAGACUGCCGGUGACAAACCGGAGGAAGGUGGGGAUGACGUCAAGUCCUCAUGGCCCUUAUGGGUAGGGCUUCACACGUCAUACAAUGGUCGGUACAGAGGGUUGCCAACCCGCGAGGGGGAGCCAAUCCCACAAAGCCGAUCGUAGUCCGGAUCGCAGUCUGCAACUCGACUGCGUGAAGUCGGAAUCGCUAGUAAUCGUGGAUCAGCAUGUCACGGUGAAUACGUUCCCGGGUCUUGUACACACCGCCCGUCACACCAUGGGAGUGGGUUCCACCAGAAGUAGGUAGUCUAACCGCAAGGGGGGCGCUUACCACGGUGGGAUUCAUGACUGGGGUGAAGUCGUAACAAGGUAACC